This 460-nucleotide ribosomal RNA is filed under the name uncultured bacterium. RNAcentral's name for it is "partial 16S ribosomal RNA". It matches the Rfam family "Bacterial small subunit ribosomal RNA", at positions 338 to 795 of the family's 1533-position model. The record is from RNAcentral.
CCUACGGGAGGCAGCAGUGAGGAAUAUUGGUCAAUGGACGAGAGUCUGAACCAGCCAAGUAGCGUGAAGGAUGACUGCCCUAUGGGUUGUAAACUUCUUUUAUAUGGGAAUAAAAUGUUCCACGUGUGGGAUUUUGUAUGUACCAUAUGAAUAAGGAUCGGCUAACUCCGUGCCAGCAGCCGCGGUAAUACGGAGGAUCCGAGCGUUAUCCGGAUUUAUUGGGUUUAAAGGGAGCGUAGGUGGAUUGUUAAGUCAGUUGUGAAAGUUUGCGGCUCAACCGUAAAAUUGCAGUUGAAACUGGAAUCCUUGAGUACAGGAGAGGUGGGCGGAAUUCGUGGUGUAGCGGUGAAAUGCUUAGAGAUCACGAAGAACUCCGAUUGCGAAGGCAGUUCACUGGACUGCAACUGACACUGAGGCUCGAAAGUGUGGGUAUCAAACAGGAUUAGAUACCCGUGUAGUC